GACGAACGCUGGCGGCGUGCUUAACACAUGCAAGUCGAACGGAAAGGCCUCACCUUGCUGGGGUACUCGAGUGGCGAAGGGGUGAGUAACCCGUGGGUGAUCUGCCUUGCACUCUGGGAUAAGCUUGGGAAACUGGGUCUAAUACCGGAUAUGUACUGCCUUUAGUGUGGGGGUUGGAAAGUUUUUUCGGUGCAAGAUGAGCUCGCGGCCUAUCCGCUUGUUGGGGGGGUAAUGGCCUACAAAGGCGUCGGCGGGUAGACGGCCUGAGAGAGUGUACGGCGACAGUGAGACUGAGAGACGGCCCAGACGCCGACGGGAGGCAGAAGUGGGGAAGAUUGCACAAGGGGCGGAAGCCGGAUGCAGAGACGCCGCGUGGGGGAUGACGGUCUUCGGGUUGGAAACGCCUUGCGAGAGGGACGAAGCUUUUUGUGACGGUACCUGUAUAAGAAGCACCGGCUAACUACGUG
This 467-nucleotide ribosomal RNA is filed under the name uncultured bacterium. RNAcentral describes it as "partial 16S ribosomal RNA". It matches the Rfam family "Bacterial small subunit ribosomal RNA", at positions 28 to 507 of the family's 1533-position model. The record is from RNAcentral.